UCUUCUUCUUCUUCUUCUUGUUUUCUUGAGAAGAGGGAGAUGAAAAAUUGUUGAUAAGGGUUUAAUUUUUCGAUUUCUUUUUACAUUAGAAGGAGGAUAUGACAACGACCCAGAAUAGGCGUUCGUCAGUUUCGAGUGCGGUGGCGAAGAGACAAGCAAUGGUGGCGAAUUCAUCGGGGUUGGAGAAUAAUCAGGCCAGAAAAUUGAAUGCUGGAGCGGCCAUGAAACGACCGGAAAUUUAUAAUAUCUUGGAUUCGUACAACUGUAUCUGCUCGUAACGUGAUUUCUCAUUCCUCCAAACUUGUACAUGCUCCCAAAAUUAUAGGUGGGAAAAAUGCACCGUCUCCAGUUGGGGAACUUGGAAUGGUAGAGAUGACCCAGGCUCUGGAACUAAUUGAUGUUUGCUAUGAGAAGGCUAUUAAUGGUGGCAAAUGCAGGAGACUGCCGAGCAGUACUUUGCCGUAAUGUCAAUUGACAUGUCUCAAGACCAGACUAAAUUAUCCAUCAGAGAGGAGGCGUGUUGAAGGUGGAUUUAUUGAUGAUGGCUAUCUUAAUGUAUACUAUCAGCCCACCUUGGGGGACUGGGACAUGAAGCUGCCUCGUGGCUCUGCCUCUCCUCUGAUUGCAGAGCCAGAAUUUCGACAGAUAGUUCUGACAGAGGAUGAUGAAUUCCUUAUUAGCUUGAAUCUGGGAUGUCUUGUCUAGUCAACAAGCAGUUAGUUUAGUGCGUCGAGGGAUAAAGACGGCAUGAUGAUCCUGAACUGUGUGCCAAGGACCUUGUCAUGGAGGCCUUGCGGCUCAAUACAUUUGACAAUCUCACUUGUAUGCUUUACUUCCCCUGAUCAUCAAGAGUUAUCACCAAUGCGUCAAAGGAGAUUAAGGAGCUGCAGCUUCUCUGCAGAAGCCUUGUAUAGCUUGCAGAGCUGGUUAGACAACAAAGGGAGCCAUUGAUGGCGGUGCAAGCUGUUUGCAGAUGCCUCAUUUGGGCAGAAUGAAGAGCAGCUAUAGUUUUGGUAGUAAGAUCUUUUUUUCCUGCUUUGGUAUUUGGGUGGAUGUAUGUUACAUACCAUUCGUUGGUGAGUUGGGAGCUACACUGACUUUUAGUUUAUUAUGGCUGUUAGCGUAUGGCCGUUUUUUAUGUAACUCAUUCUAUUAGUUGUACAUAAUGAACACUUGUAGUUUUUGCUCCGUAUAAUAACUAGAUUGCAACAAGUCUACUCCUUA
Solanum tuberosum (potato) is the source of this 1224-nucleotide long non-coding RNA. RefSeq lists it as uncharacterized. The transcript has 3 exons. The record is from RefSeq and is a predicted model, not a curated record. NCBI's taxonomy places the organism in Eukaryota, Viridiplantae, Streptophyta, Magnoliopsida, Solanales, Solanaceae.